UACGAAGGGGGCUAGCGUUGUUCGGAAUCACUGGGCGUAAAGGGCGCGUAGGCGGCCGCUCAAGUCGGGGGUGAAAGCCUGUGGCUUAACCACAGAAUUGCCUUCGAUACUGUUUGGCUUGAGACCGGAAGAGGUGAGUGGAACUGCGAGUGUAGAGGUGAAAUUCGUAGAUAUUCGCAAGAACACCAGUGGCGAAGGCGGCUCACUGGCCCGGUACUGACGCUGAGGUGCGAAAGCGUGGGGAGCAAACGGG
This 253-nucleotide ribosomal RNA is filed under the name uncultured bacterium. Its description in RNAcentral is "partial 16S ribosomal RNA". It matches the Rfam family "Bacterial small subunit ribosomal RNA", at positions 524 to 776 of the family's 1533-position model. The record is from RNAcentral.